CUGAAUUAACACUGCUGCAUUAUGGAUUUAAGUUCUGACAAGCAUUUCAUGAGAACAUAAAUGAAGAAUGGCAUUUCAAAAGCCAACUACAGAGAAAGGCAGAGCGUGCAAUCUCAUGCACAAUGGAAUCUACGAAAGACCUGUUUACAGACCGGGAGGGAGAGGAUGCGGAGCUGAGCAACAGCUACCAACUUACAAUCAGACCGGAGCAGGAAGUUCUGAAAUCAAGGAACACUGGAGCACUGGAAGUCAGCCUACUGGAACUCUGAGAUACCAGGAGCCCUGAGCAUAGAGAAGAGCAGUGCUGGUAAUCGGCUGCAUUUAAAGGCAAUAUAUACUGCACAUGGACCCAAUGGCAGUACUUUUGGAGAUGUCUUGAAUGGAGUCUAGUGUCGAGUAGAGGACAGAGAAGGAGAAUUUAGAAUAUGGUGAAAAAAAUAUGUCCCUUCCUCAUUAUAAAGCAACACAUUCACUGUUAGUACAAGUAUCCACAAAAGAGAAAGAUAAUCAGGCAUGCCAAAUUUCUUGAGUGACAGGCCUCAGAACUUCAACAGGAACCAAAGGCUUUCUUCUCUUAAAGCAUCUUCUGAGGACCAGUGCUUCUCACUUUGCUCCAUCAUCAUAGAGAUUAAGCAACAGACCUGGAUAUGUGAUGUUAUCAACGCUACUCAUUCAAAAUGUAGAACAAGUCCAAAUUUCACCACCACGUAGAAGAUUUGUCAGCUCUAAAGUCAUAGGUCAUUUGGUUUGGGGCCUGAGAAUGUUGUGCAUUCAAGUCACAAUGCUGUGCCUUCAAGUCACCAGGGUGUUCUCACACAUAUCUGCACUCACUCUCAUAGGAGAGUUUUCACAUGUUGGAAAUUGAAAAAUUCGGUCCGUUUUAAGAACAAACACUUUGGAAACACUAUAUAUCAGUGUUUAUAGCUGAGAACCCCUAUUUACUAUUUAGAACUAAGCCUCAAAAAAAAAAAAAAAAAAAAAAAAAAAAAAAACC
Long non-coding RNA from Mus pahari (shrew mouse), 994 nucleotides. RefSeq lists it as uncharacterized. The transcript is spliced from 3 exons. The record is from RefSeq and is a predicted model, not a curated record. Lineage: Eukaryota; Metazoa; Chordata; Mammalia; Rodentia; Muridae.